This 1519-nucleotide long non-coding RNA is filed under the name Homo sapiens (human). Its description in RNAcentral is "HSALNT0055925". The record is from RNAcentral. Lineage: Eukaryota; Metazoa; Chordata; Mammalia; Primates; Hominidae.
UCGCUGCCGCCUUGCAGUUUGAUCUCAGACUGCUGUGCUAGCAAUCAGUGAGACUCCGUGGGCGUAGGACCCUCCGAGCCAGGUGCAGGUUAUAAUCUCGUGGUGCGCCGUUUUUUAAGCUUGUCGGAAAAGCGCAGUAUUCGGGUGGGAGUGACCCGAUUUUCCAGGUGCGGUCCUCACCCCUUUCUUUGACUAGGAAAGGGAACUCGCUGACCCCUUGCGCUUCCCGAGUGAGGCAAUGCCUCGCCCUGCUUCGGAUGGCGCACGGUGCGCGCACCCACUGACCUGAGCCCACUGUCUGGCACUCCCUAGUGAGAUGAACCCGGUACCUCAGAUGGAAAUGCAGAAAUCACCGGUCUUCUGCUUCGCUCACGCUGGGAGCAGUAGACCAGAGAUGUUCCUAUUCGGCCAUCUUGGCUCCUCCAGAGCUACUUAUUUUUUUAUGAAGGAAAAGAAUAUCAUUGAAAGCAGUUUUACCAUAAAAAGUAUUUUUCACAUAUUUGCAUGUUUAACAUCCAGGGCCCUGGAGCCAGACUGUCUGGGGUUUGAAAUCAGCUCCUCCACCUACCAGCUAUUGACCUCAGGUUGGGAACAUGACCUAAUGGUGUGCUACCAUGCAGCUCUUUCCAGCUCCAUGUUCAGUGACUUCAUAUUGGGUGUUGUCUAUUUGCCCUCCACUUGUAUACAGGCUGGCCUUUGUGACUUGCUUUGUACAGCUGAUGUGACAUCUUGAGACAUCUGAGGUCAAGGCCUUAAGAAGACUGGUCGUUUUUUCUGGAUGCUAAGAGAAGAAAGUGAUUCAAGGAGGAGGGUGUAAUCAACUUCAUCAAGUGCUGCUGACAAGUCAAGUAGGAUGAGGACCAGGAAGUGGUCAUUGGAAAUACCAGUGUGGAUGUCAUUUGCGAUUUGGUAGAUAGUAAUCCGAGUGGAGCAUUUGGAGCAAAAUCCUGGUUUAAGUAGAUUUAAGAAGAAAUUGGAAGAAAGAAAUUGGAGACAAUGAGUACAAAUAACUCUUUCUUCUCUUGCUAGAAAUCCAAGAGCAACAGAGCAAUGACUGAAGGAAGGUGCUGAUAAAUCACAAGAGCAUUUUUUUUCAAGGUGGUAGAAAUAACAUCAGCUUAUCUAAAUGCUGUAAUACACUUCUGAACCUUAACCUAUAAUUUAAAGACAGUACAGACUUGUUGCAAAAACACGAUUUCUAAAAGCAAGGUUAAUCCUUACCACAUAAUAUCUUGGCAAAAAUUAUCUUCCUUGUGUUUCAAUUUCAUCAUUUGUAAUAUGAAUUAAAAUAACCACUUUACAGAGGAGUUGGCCUGGUAAAAUUUUUUUAUUUAAGGUUCUAAGUUUGAUAGUUCUCAUUGUUCCAUAUUCUUUCAUUUGCAACUUGGUAGAAAAUAUCAAAAUUGAUUCCAAGCAAUAAUGAUUUUGAUAAAUGUAUUAGGCCAUUCUUGCAUUGCUGUAAAGAAAAUACCUGAGACUGGAUAAUUUAUGAAAAGAGAGGUUUAAUUGGCUCAUGGUU